Molecule: transfer RNA, 69 nt
Filed under: Anopheles guarani
Lineage: Eukaryota; Metazoa; Arthropoda; Insecta; Diptera; Culicidae
Description: tRNA-Gln
Rfam family: tRNA
About the family: Transfer RNA (tRNA) molecules are approximately 80 nucleotides in length. Their secondary structure includes four short double-helical elements and three loops (D, anti-codon, and T loops).
Source: RNAcentral
UAUAUUUUAGUGUAUGAUGCACGAUAGAUUUUGAUUCUUUUGGAAACAGUUUAAUUCUGUUAAAUAUAA